UACGUAGGGUCCGAGCGUUGUCCGGAGUUACUGGGCGUAAAGCGCGCGCAGGCGGCCCGUCGUGACCGGCGUGAAAGCCCCCGGCUCAACCGGGGAGGGUCGCCGGUGACUGGCGGGCUCGAGGACGGCAGGGGCCGGUGGAAUGCCCGGUGUAGUGGUGAAAUGCGUAGAGAUCGGGCGGAACACCCGUGGCGAAGGCGGCCGGCUGGGCCGUUCCUGACGCUGAGGCGCGAAGGCGUGGGGAGCGAACGGG
RNAcentral lists this ribosomal RNA (253 nucleotides) under uncultured bacterium. RNAcentral describes it as "partial 16S ribosomal RNA". It matches the Rfam family "Bacterial small subunit ribosomal RNA", at positions 524 to 776 of the family's 1533-position model. The record is from RNAcentral.